GCACGCUUAGGCGUGUGACUGCGUACCUUUUGUAUAAUGGGUCAGCGACUUAUAUUCUGUAGCAAGGUUAACCGAAUAGGGGAGCCGAAGGGAAACCGAGUCUUAACUGGGCGUUAAGUUGCAGGGUAUAGACCCGAAACCCGGUGAUCUAGCCAUGGGCAGGUUGAAGGUUGGGUAACACUAACUGGAGGACCGAACCGACUAAUGUUGAAAAAUUAGCGGAUGACUUGUGGCUGGGGGUGAAAGGCCAAUCAAACCGGGAGAUAGCUGGUUCUCCCCGAAAGCUAUUUAGGUAGCGCCUCGUGAAUUCAUCUCCGGGGGUAGAGCACUGUUUCGGCAAGGGGGUCAUCCCGACUUACCAACCCGAUGCAAACUGCGAAUACCGGAGAAUGUUAUCACGGGAGACACACGGCGGGUGCUAACGUCCGUCGUGAAGAGGGAAACAACCCAGACCGCCAGCUAAGGUCCCAAAGUCAUGGUUAAGUGGGAAACGAUGUGGGAAGGCCCAGACAGCCAGGAUGUUGGCUUAGAAGCAGCCAUCAUUUAAAGAAAGCGUAAUAGCUCACUGGUCGAGUCGGCCUGCGCGGAAGAUGUAACGGGGCUAAACCAUG
Molecule: ribosomal RNA, 611 nt
Filed under: Escherichia coli
Lineage: Bacteria; Pseudomonadati; Pseudomonadota; Gammaproteobacteria; Enterobacterales; Enterobacteriaceae
Description: partial 23S ribosomal RNA
Rfam family: Bacterial large subunit ribosomal RNA
Source: RNAcentral